This 253-nucleotide ribosomal RNA is filed under the name uncultured bacterium. Its description in RNAcentral is "partial 16S ribosomal RNA". It matches the Rfam family "Bacterial small subunit ribosomal RNA", at positions 524 to 776 of the family's 1533-position model. The record is from RNAcentral.
UACGUAGGGUGCAAGCGUUAAUCGGAAUUACUGGGCGUAAGGCGUGCGCAGGCGGUGAUGUAAGACAGUUGUGAAAUCCCCGGGCUCAACCUGGGAACUGCAUCUGUGACUGCAUCGCUGGAGUGCGGCAGAGGGGGAUGGAAUUCCGCGUGUAGCAGUGAAAUGCGUAGAUAUGCGGAGGAACACCGAUGGCGAAGGCAAUCCCCUGGGCCUGCACUGACGCUCAUGCACGAAAGCGUGGGGAGCAAACAGG